Physeter macrocephalus (sperm whale) is the source of this 2548-nucleotide long non-coding RNA. RefSeq lists it as uncharacterized. NCBI's taxonomy places the organism in Eukaryota, Metazoa, Chordata, Mammalia, Artiodactyla, Physeteridae. The record is from RefSeq and is a predicted model, not a curated record. The transcript is spliced from 3 exons.
AUGAUUAAUUUUAAAAGAUAAUAUUAUAUUUACAAAUAACGCUAAAGAUUGCUAUUCUAUUUUGUCAGAAGAGGGCAGGAAGGAGCACUCUUCUUCCUUAACUAGGAGUCAAGCAACUUGCUGGGGGUUUUAACCUGGUGACCCAGCCCUGGGAAGACCUAUGCUCAAGCUUGGGGGUGGGAGGGAGAGGGGUCCCCAUCUCUUCUGAUGGUCGCACAGGGCCAGCCAAAUUUCCAGGGCAUCAUCUAUAUGUUGUAUACUGAGGGGCCUAAGAUCACCUGCCUAAAAAUAUCCCCCUUGACCAGCAAUACUCCUGCAGCCACUGACACUGAAAUUUCCACAUAGGAAGCAUUAGAAAUUCACUUCUCAGGGCUGGGGUCCUGUCUAUCCAGUCCACCCACCUUGUGUAUGGAGCCUUCCCAGAGAGGUAUGAAGGAGUGUCAGAUUACUUUCUAAAAUGACAGCUAUUUUGAUUGGGGGCAGGGAGGAGAGAUCAUUUUGGAACCCCCUCCUGAGGCGCGAUGGCUGGGGGCUCCUGAACAUCAGCGAGGGCAGGGCUGGGGCAGGUGGGAGAGGAGAAGGCAGAGGCUUUGCACUUUCUUCACAAGUUUGCUUAAGGCUGAGACUGUUUUCACUCAUUAACAAGCUCUGAUUUGGUGUGUGUGUUGGGGAGGAAGGGGAUGGAACCCAAGGGUGUUUCUCCUGAGAACAUGUGAUACACUCAACUGAUCAAUUAGGGGGAGGGUUUAUACUGUGAGACAAAAGAAUUGUUAACUUUACAGGCAGAAUCUUGGCAGGGUUGCUUUAACUGGAGGGCAUCCCGCCUACCCUAUUUUAAACGGCAUUUUUAUCUCGAUCAAUGAAGAGAACAGCCGCCAAGGGCGCCUCUCACCAGCCUCAACCCCAACAGGAAAUGGCAGAAACACACACUCCUCGUCCCCGCUGGCUGCCCCAGGCCGCACCGCAGCUGGCCUCUCCUGACUCAAGGUCAGUGGGGCUCGGGCUGGCCUGGUGUUGAGACAGCAUUCUGGAAACUGCGCUUGUACCCUGCAGACGGCUGUUUCCUGGGCUAGGCGACUCCCGCCCCCCCCCGCCACCCCCGGACUGUAUCUGUACCCUUCCUGGGGACUUGGCCAGUCCGGGGCCUGCACUUCCCAAGUCCAAGGUGAGAGGGCAGACUACGCCUGAGUGUGGUCUUGGAAGCGGCCGAGGGCUCGGAACCAGGUGGAUCCAGUGCUGGUCCAGAGGUCCUGCAGAGGAAGUCACACUGGCCUCGUUUUGCCCUUCUAGACGCACCAAGGAGAGAAACAGAAAAGGAACUUCAGAUCCUUUAGGACUUCGAGAAGAGUCUGCUCGCACCACAAACAUUUUCCAGUGCACUGUGAUCAAACACUCCUCACACCCCUUGGUGCUCAAGAGCCUGGGAGCUCCGUGGACAGGGGGGUGCUGGCCUCGUCACCCCUGUUUCCCUCGUGCCAGAACGGGAUAAGCCUUCCAAACUUUUGCUGAACACCUAAUCCUGGGUACGUGUGUGUGGGUACCAUUCCUGUGUCUAUACUGGGAAUGACCCAGGUUAGCAGUGAAGAAACUGGGAUGUGUGUUUCCAGUCUGCAAUCAUUACUUGCUUGUAGCUUCAGGCUUGUGAAAUGUCUCUAUUCCACAAUCUUCUCAUUCCCGAGAAGGAUGAAAACAACCUGUGCCGUUGACCUCGCAAGUUUGUUAAGACGAUCAAUGUUGUGCAUGUAGCAGAACUCCUACAGUUUAAUCAUUCACACUUGAGCAGUUCUUACCCACUUUGCUUUUGUUUCAGCCAAAGGGGCUAGAAACUUGUCCAAGGGCAGGAGAGUUGAUUCAGGUGCCAGGUCCAGUCUUGGGUUCACACGCAGGGCCCCCUCCAACUCACCGGGUCCUCUGGACUGCAUACCUCUUCAGGUGCCCAAACUCAGGUUCUGUUCCCCCCAGGGUGAGCCUGCCCCAUCCCCGCCAGUCCUCACAGCCAAAGUCCUCCUGAUCUUCCAAUCCAGUCUUUACCCCCUCCACCCACUUCAGCAGGCCCGUUCCAUGUCUACUUCCCCUGGCCGGUCCUGCCAGGUCAUCCAGGACCAAGUUACCCCUUCUCCCUCGGCCUCCACUUGACCCUUGCUCCUGCUAGAUUUCCCCCAUCAUUUCUCCACCCCUUAGUUUUCCCCGCCUGACCCUCGACUAUCAGCUCACUGCCCACUCCUACACAGUUGACCUUUACUGGGUGUUUGGCCUCCCCAUUGAACUGUGAGUAUCAUAGACCUGGAGGGGUACAACCAUGUCAGCUGUUGAUGAGCUUGACAGCCAAGGGGGUGCGUUUAGGGGCUCAGUGAAGGGCAGAGCCUCUUCUCCCAGCUGGCUCUAUAUUCAUGCUCCAGAGUGUGAGUUUCUGUCCCCUCAUCCAUGUCACCACUGCACAGCCCCUGAAGGAGAGGAGGCAGACAGGACCUGCUAGACUGCCCCCGCUUUUCUGGCCCAGGGAUGGGGGAGGGUAAGAUGUGUGCCAUCGCUCUCCCUCCUCCAACUC